AAAUUGAAGAGUUUGAUCAUGGCUCAGAUUGAACGCUGGCGGCAGGCCUAACACAUGCAAGUCGAGCGGAAACGAGUUAUCAGAACCUUCGGGGAACGAUAACGGCGUCGAGCGGCGGACGGGUGAGUAAUGCCUAGGAAAUUGCCCUGAUGUGGGGGAUAACCAUUGGAAACGAUGGCUAAUACCGCAUAAUGCCUACGGGCCAAAGAGGGGGACCUUCGGGCCU
Molecule: ribosomal RNA, 226 nt
Filed under: Vibrio alginolyticus
Lineage: Bacteria; Pseudomonadati; Pseudomonadota; Gammaproteobacteria; Vibrionales; Vibrionaceae
Description: partial 16S ribosomal RNA
Rfam family: Bacterial small subunit ribosomal RNA
Source: RNAcentral